This is a non-coding RNA of Paenibacillus sp. DMB20, 271 nucleotides long. NCBI's taxonomy places the organism in Bacteria, Bacillati, Bacillota, Bacilli, Caryophanales, Paenibacillaceae. The record is from Rfam.
UGAAAUGCGUUGAAGGAGAAGAGUAAGCAGUGCCUCUGUACAGGGAGGAGACACCGGAGAUUGAGAGUGUCUCUAUGGAAACAGGCUGCCGAAGUUCGCUCCGGAGCAGUUCCCUGAACCCGGCGCUUUGCCGUUCAGUAGGGGAUAUCGGGUUCCGAUCCGUUACGUCGGUCAAAGUGAGUUCGAGGUAUUGAAGCACGGAAUAACUUGGUUAUUUUAGCCUUUAAAUCCGGACUAACAAGGGUGGUACCACGGUCUUUUCGUCCCUUUC